UCAAGUAAGUAAGGGCGUACGGCGGAUGCCUUGGCCAUAUCAGCCGAAGAAGGACGCGAUAAGCUGCGAUAAGCUGCGGUGAGGUGCAAGUAACCUUUGACCCGCAGAUUUCCGAAUGGGGAAACCCGGCAGCAGUAGUGCUGUCAUCCUCUAUGAGGAAGGGCACCCGGUGAACUGAAACAUCUAAGUAGCCGGAGGAAAAGGAAUCAACAGAGAUACCCCUAGUAGCGGCGAGCGAACGGGGCAGAGCCCAAACCGGAAUGGGAAACCAAUCCGGGGUUGUGGACUGCUAUCAAAUGCAUGAGUGAAGCAGAAUGAGCUGGGAAGCUCAGCCAGAGAGAGUGAGAGCCUCGUAGGCGUAAGCAAAUGCAUGGAGCAGGAUCCAGAGUACCACGGGACACGAGAAACCCUGUGGGAAGCUGGGGGGACCACCCUCCAAGGCGAAACACUGAUAUGGACCGAUAGCGCAUAGUACCGUGAGGGAAAGGUGAAAAGAACCCCGGGAGGGGAAUGAAAGAGAACCUGAAACCGUAUGUCUACAAGCAGUCGAAGACCUUUAUAUGGUCGACGGCGUGCCUAUUGAAGAAUGAACCGGCGAGUUACUUCAGCUAGCGAGGUUAAGCGGAAAACGUGGAGCCGAAGCGAAAGCGAGUCUGAACAGGGCGUAUAGUUAGUUGGAGUAGACCCGAAACCACAGUGAUCUACCCAUGUCCAGGUUGAAGCACAGGUAAAAAUGUGUGGAGGACCGAACCAGUGAGCGUUGAAAAGCUUUUGGAUGAGAUGUGGGUAGGGGUGAAAUGCCAAUCGAACGUGGAGAUAGCUGGUUCUCCCCGAAAUAGCUUUAGGGCUAGCCUCAUGGCGAGAGUACAGGCGGUAGAGCACUGAACGGGGUAGGGGCCUAUCCGGCUACUGAACCUAAUCAAACUGCGAAUGGCUGUACUUAUCCAUGGGAGUCAGACUGUGAGUAAUAAGGCCCAUAGUCAAGAGGGAAACAGCCCAGACCAACAGCUAAGGUCCCCAAUGCCGUACUAAGUGGCGAAGGAUGUGGAAUUUCGAAAACAACCAGGAUGUUGGCUCAGAAGCAGCCACCAUUAAAAGAGUGCGUAAUAGCUCACUGGUCGAGAGACUCUGCGCCGAAGAUGUCCGGGGCUAAAGUACGGAACCGAAGCUUUGGCAAUUGACAUUAGUCAAUUGGGUAGGGGAGCGUUCCUGCAUGGGAGAAGCCUGACCGGAAGGACAGGUGGACAGGCAGGAAGAGAGAAUGCCGGUAUGAGUAGCGAAAAGAAGGGUGAGAAUCCCUUCCACCGAAAGCCUAAGGGUUCCUGGGCAACGAUCGUCGUCCCAGGGUAAGUCGGGACCUAAUCCGAGGCGGAGACGCGUAGGAGAUGGACAACAGGUUGAAAUUCCUGUACUGGCUGAGGCCGUUUGAGCGAAGGAGUGACACAGGAAGGAAGGCGCGCGUGCGAUUGGAAGAGCACGUCCAAGCAGGUAGGUUGGGAGACAGGCAAAUCCGUUUCCCGAGAGGCCGAGAUGCGAUGGGGAGCUUCUGGAGACAGAAGCGAAGGGGCUGGCACUAAACUGUCGAGAAAAGCUUCUAGUGAGGACUCAGGCACCCGUACCGAAACCGACACAGGUAGGCAGGAUGAGAAUUCUAAGGUGCGCGGGAAAACCCUCGUUAAGGAACUCGGCAAAAUAUAUCCGUAACUUCGGGAAAAGGAUAACCCAGCGUACGUGAAGUGCAGAAGCGCACGGAGCGGAGAUGGGUGGCAGAAGAGAGGCCCAAGCGACUGUUUACCACAAACACAGGCGUCUGCUAAAGCGAAAGCUGAUGUAUAGAUGCUGACACCUGCCCGGUGCUGGAAGGUUAAGAGGAAGUGUUAGCGCAAGCGAAGCAGUGAAUUGAAGCCCCAGUAAACGGCGGCCGUAACUAUAACGGUCCUAAGGUAGCGAAAUUCCUUGUCGGG
This 1964-nucleotide ribosomal RNA is filed under the name human gut metagenome. RNAcentral describes it as "bacterial LSU rRNA". It matches the Rfam family "Bacterial large subunit ribosomal RNA", at positions 3 to 1976 of the family's 2925-position model. The record is from RNAcentral.